RNAcentral lists this ribosomal RNA (927 nucleotides) under Salmonella enterica subsp. enterica. RNAcentral describes it as "partial 23S ribosomal RNA". It matches the Rfam family "Bacterial large subunit ribosomal RNA", at positions 711 to 1637 of the family's 2925-position model. The record is from RNAcentral. Lineage: Bacteria; Pseudomonadati; Pseudomonadota; Gammaproteobacteria; Enterobacterales; Enterobacteriaceae.
AGACCCGAAACCCGGUGAUCUAGCCAUGGGCAGGUUGAAGGUUGGGUAACACUAACUGGAGGACCGAACCGACUAAUGUUGAAAAAUUAGCGGAUGACCUGUGGCUGGGGGUGAAAGGCCAAUCAAACCGGGAGAUAGCUGGUUCUCCCCGAAAGCUAUUUAGGUAGCGCCUCGUGAAUUCAUCUCCGGGGGUAGAGCACUGUUUCGGCUAGGGGGCCAUCCCGGCUUACCAACCCGAUGCAAACUGCGAAUACCGGAGAAUGUUAUCACGGGAGACACACGGCGGGUGCUAACGUCCGUCGUGAAGAGGGAAACAACCCAGACCGCCAGCUAAGGUCCCAAAGUCAUGGUUAAGUGGGAAACGAUGUGGGAAGGCCCAGACAGCCAGGAUGUUGGCUUAGAAGCAGCCAUCAUUUAAAGAAAGCGUAAUAGCUCACUGGUCGAGUCGGCCUGCGCGGAAGAUGUAACGGGGCUAAACCAUGCACCGAAGCUGCGGCAGCGACACUCAGGUGUUGUUGGGUAGGGGAGCGUUCUGUAAGCCUGCGAAGGUGGCCUGUGAGGGUUGCUGGAGGUAUCAGAAGUGCGAAUGCUGACAUAAGUAACGAUAAAGCGGGUGAAAAGCCCGCUCGCCGGAAGACCAAGGGUUCCUGUCCAACGUUAAUCGGGGCAGGGUGAGUCGACCCCUAAGGCGAGGCCGAAAGGCGUAGUCGAUGGGAAACGGGUUAAUAUUCCCGUACUUGGUGUUACUGCGAAGGGGGGACGGAGAAGGCUAUGUUGGCCGGGCGACGGUUGUCCCGGUUUAAGCGUGUAGGCUGGUUUUCCAGGCAAAUCCGGAAAAUCAAGGCUGAGGCGUGAUGACGAGGCACUACGGUGCUGAAGCAACAAAUGCCCUGCUUCCAGGAAAAGCCUCUAAGCAUCAGGUAACAU